RNAcentral lists this ribosomal RNA (481 nucleotides) under uncultured bacterium. Its description in RNAcentral is "partial 16S ribosomal RNA". It matches the Rfam family "Bacterial small subunit ribosomal RNA", at positions 28 to 507 of the family's 1533-position model. The record is from RNAcentral.
GAUGAACGCUGGCGGCGUGCUUAACACAUGCAAGUCGAACGAAGCAUUUAAGACAGAUUACUUCGGUUUGAAGUCUUUUAUGACUGAGUGGCGGACGGGUGAGUAACGCGUGGGUAACCUGCCUCAUACAGGGGGAUAGCAGCUGGAAACGGCUGGUAAUACCGCAUAGGCGCACAGUACCACAUGGUACAGUGUGAAAAACUCCGGUGGUAUGAGAUGGACCCGCGUCUGAUUAGCUUGUUGGCGGGGUAACGGCCCACCAAGGCGACGAUCAGUAGCCGACCUGAGAGGGUGACCGGCCACAUUGGGACUGAGACACGGCCCAGACUCCUACGGGAGGCAGCAGUGGGGAAUAUUGCACAAUGGAGGAAACUCUGAUGCAGCGACGCCGCGUGAGUGAAGAAGUAGUUCGCUAUGUAAAGCUCUAUCAGCAGGGAAGAUAGUGACGGUACCUGACUAAGAAGCUCCGGCUAAAUACGUG